AACACGAAAGUGGACGUAUAGGGUGUGACGCCUGCCCGGUGCUGGAAGGUUAAUUGAAGAUGUGAGAGCAUCGGAUCGAAGCCCCAGUAAACGGCGGCCGUAACUAUAACGGUCCUAAGGUAGCGAAAUUCCUUGUCGGGUAAGUUCCGACCCGCACGAAUGGCGUAACGAUGGCCACACUGUCUCCUCCCGAGACUCAGCGAAGUUGAAGUGGUUGUGAAGAUGCAAUCUACCCGCUGCUAGACGGAAAGACCCCGUGAACCUUUACUGUAGCUUUGCAUUGGACUUUGAAGUCACUUGUGUAGGAUAGGUGGGAGGCUUAGAAGCAGAGACGCUAGUUUCUGUGGAGCCGUCCUUGAAAUACCACCCUGGUGUCUUUGAGGUUCUAACCCAGACCCGUAAUCCGGGUCGGGGACCGUGCAUGGUAGGCAGUUUGACUGGGGCGGUCUCCUCCCAAAGAGUAACGGAGGAGUUCGAAGGUUACCUAGGUCCGGUCGGAAAUCGGACUGAUAGUGCAAUGGCAAAAGGUAGCUUAACUGCGAGACCGACAAGUCGAGCAGGUGCGAAAGCAGGACAUAGUGAUCCGGUGGUUCUGUAUGGAAGGGCCAUCGCUCAACGGAUAAAAGGUACUCCGGGGAUAACAGGCUGAUUCCGCCCAAGAGUUCAUAUCGACGGCGGAGUUUGGCACCUCGAUGUCGGCUCAUCACAUCCUGGGGCUGUAGUCGGUCCCAAGGGUAUGGCUGUUCGCCAUUUAAAGUGGUACGUGAGCUGGGUUUAAAACGUCGUGAGACAGUUUGGUCCCUAUCUGCAGUGGGCGUUGGAAGUUUGACGGGGGCUGCUCCUAGUACGAGAGGACCGGAGUGGACGAACCUCUGGUGUACCGGUUGUAACGCCAGUUGCAUAGCCGGGUAGCUAAGUUCGGAAGAGAUAAGCGCUGAAAGCAUCUAAGCGCGAAACUCGCCUGAAGAUGAGACUUCCCUUGCGGUUUAACCGCACUAAAGAGUCGUUCGAGACCAGGACGUUGAUAGGUGGGGUGUGGAAGCGCGGUAACGCGUGAAGCUAACCCAUACUAAUUGCUCGUGAGGCUUGACUCU
RNAcentral lists this ribosomal RNA (1094 nucleotides) under human oral metagenome. RNAcentral's name for it is "bacterial LSU rRNA". It matches the Rfam family "Bacterial large subunit ribosomal RNA", at positions 1828 to 2925 of the family's 2925-position model. The record is from RNAcentral.